This 217-nucleotide long non-coding RNA is filed under the name Elaeis guineensis (African oil palm). RNAcentral describes it as "long non-coding RNA (EGUI_LNC045766)". Lineage: Eukaryota; Viridiplantae; Streptophyta; Magnoliopsida; Arecales; Arecaceae. The record is from RNAcentral.
CUGUCAAGAUUUGCUCCGAUGGAAUAUGGGUAUAAAUGUCCCUCCGACCUGAGACCACCACGGUGACUUGCAAGCAACUCACUGCACUUAGGCACUGGACUACCUGAAUUUCUAAUUCAGUGACGGAAGGCUGCUAGGUGUAGUCAAGUACUUGACUUAUCGGUGCGUGUGUCAAGAUGGGAUUGACCACUCCAGUUUAGGAGCUGUGUACAGUCGU